UAUAAAAAAUCAAUUUGAUUAUGAAGAGAACUUUUGAACUUGGAGUUACUGAAAAUUAUUUACCAUCAGAGGAAUAUGUACUGGUCCUAAGAACAAUGAUAAAAGCCACAGUCCCUACUCUGGCAGCUGCUGGGCUGGUGGCAGAAGUUGUCUCAUCUGCUUUUCCCCACCAUUCUGGGAGCACUAGUAGCUUUGACUAUACACAGCUAUCAGAAGAGGGAGAGUUCAGCCUAGACCAGGGGUUGGUCCACAAACCUUUAUGGCAAAGGGCCGAACAGUAAAUAUUUCAGGUUUUGUGGGCCCCAUAGUCUCCACUGCAAGUACUCCACUGUGCUAUGGUCACACAAAAGCAGUCAUAGACAAUAUGUGAAGGAAUGAGUAUGACUAUGUUCCAAUAAAAGUUUACAGGCGCAGAAAUUUGAAUUUUAUAUAAUUUUCAUGUGUCCCAAACUAUUAUUCUUCUUUUCAGCCAUUUAAAAACGUAAAAACCAUCCUUGCAUUGUGAGCUGUAUCAAAUCAGAGGAUGAGAACAUGGACGCAGGUUUGGGGUCCCUGCUUCCUACCCUAGCUGAGUGCUGGGGGAACAGGCUGUAGAAUAGAUGCCUCAGGUCAACAUGGGGGGCUCCCAGGGUGGAAAGACUAGGGUCUCCCUUCCCAAGGUGAGUUCUGGAGUGACUGUGAGCCCUAGUGAAGCUUCAUGUCCCCCAUGGUACCAGAGCAGCAGAGCAACGGUGGCCAAGGGGCCUGGACAGAAUACCCUGGAGCCAGCUUUGUGACAGGCCCCUACAAAUGAUAAGGACAAAGAGUCAAAGUUCCUGAGCCUCCAUUUCAAAGGAGAGAAGAAGAUGAUGAUGGCUGGCCAGCAAAUUCAGAGAAGACUGGGUUGGAAGGCGAGAUCUGCCUGGACUCUACAACCAGAGGCCAUUACAAGAUGGGGUCCCCUUGGCCAAUACAGCAGGGGAAGCAGCUGAUGCCCAAAGACUGCAUGGUUUGGAGGAGGCUCUCCUCAGAGGAGAAGUGGCCUGCCUCCACUCCUCUGGGUUCUCUAGAGCUGGUCCUCUUCUCCCUGAAGGCUGUCACAGUUCCUGUGCAGAGAGAGAGGGCACUGCAGCACCCAGGCGCUGACUGCCUUUUGUCAGUCUCAUUUGCAGGCCCCCAGCUGGAGAACCCAGGAGGAAGAGGAAAAAAGUUUUUUCCUCCUCUACACUCCCCAUGCAUGACUAAAGAGUAGGAGGAGUCAGCAAGGCAGACAUAUAUAGUACCCAGGAGGUGGACAAACAACUGCCUUGGUGGAAACUCUGUCCUUUCUGGGCUUAUCCUGGUGCCACUGAGACUGUGCAGCAAACCAUGUAUCUGGCUCCCCUCCCACCUUCUCACCUUGGAACACCACCGGCUGUAGGCAUCUACAUGCAGCAGGAAGCAUCACUGAGUAAGUUCGACUACACAUCAAGGGUAGACACCGCACUGUCCAUCCAGCCUGCUCUGAACUGGCCCUGGGAAGGCAUGUCUGGAGAAGCUAUGUUGGAAGGAUUAGAAUAAUAUACAUCUCCACACUUACCCACUCUGCAUGGGCUGCCUGA
Molecule: long non-coding RNA, 1580 nt
Organism: Gorilla gorilla gorilla (western lowland gorilla)
Lineage: Eukaryota; Metazoa; Chordata; Mammalia; Primates; Hominidae
Exons: 5
Source: RefSeq, a predicted model, not a curated record